GAGUUUGAUCUUGGCUCAGAUUGAACGCUGGCGGCAUGCCUUACACAUGCAAGUCGAACGCGAAAGCGGGGCAACCCGCAAGUAGAGUGGCGAACGGGUGAGUAAUACAUCGGAACAUUUCCAGUAGCGGGGGAUAACCUGUCGAAAGAUAGGCUAAUACCGCAUACGACCUACGGGUGAAAGCGGAGGACCGCAAGGCUUCGCACUAUUGGAGUGGCCGAUGUCGGAUUAGCUAGUUGGCGGGGUAAAAAGCCCACCAAGGCGACGAUCCGUAGCUGGUCUGAGAGGACGAUCAGCCACACUGGAACUGAGACACGGUCCAGACUCCUACGGGAGGCAGCAGUGGGGAAUAUUGGACAAUGGGGGAAACCCUGAUCCAGCCAUGCCGCGUGAGUGAAGAAGGCC
Molecule: ribosomal RNA, 405 nt
Filed under: uncultured beta proteobacterium
Lineage: Bacteria; Pseudomonadati; Pseudomonadota; Betaproteobacteria
Description: bacterial SSU rRNA
Rfam family: Bacterial small subunit ribosomal RNA
Source: RNAcentral